RNAcentral lists this ribosomal RNA (830 nucleotides) under uncultured bacterium. RNAcentral describes it as "SSU rRNA". It matches the Rfam family "Bacterial small subunit ribosomal RNA", at positions 60 to 903 of the family's 1533-position model. The record is from RNAcentral.
AGUCGAGCGAUGAAGUUUCUUCGGAAAUGGAUUAGCGGCGAACGGGUGAGGAACACGUGAAGAAUCUGCCCUCCACUUUGGGAUAACACCGGGAAACCGGUGCUAAUACCGAAUAUUGAAACAUAAGUGGCAUCACUGAGUUUUGAAAGAAUUUCGGUGGAGGAUGACUUCGCGGCCUAUCAGCUAGUUGGUGAGGUAAUGGCUCACCAAGGCAACGACGGGUAGCCGGCCUGAGAGGGCGACCGGCCACACUGGGACUGAGACACGGCCCAGACUCCUACGGGAGGCAGCAGUGGGGAAUAUUGGGCAAUGGAGGAAACUCUGACCCAGCGACGCCGCGUGCGGGAUGAAGGCCUUCGGGUUGUAAACCGCUUUCAGUAGGGAAGAAGCGAAAGUGACGGUACCUACAAAAGAAGCACCGGCUAACUAUGUGCCAGCAGCCGCGGUAAUACAUAGGGUGCAAGCGUUGUCCGGAAUUAUUGGGCGUAAAGAGCUCGUAGGUCGUUUGUUACGUCGGAUGUGAAAACCUGAGGCUCAACCUCAGGCCUGCAUUCGAUACGGGCAAACUAGAGUUUGGUAGGGGAGACUGGAAUUCCUGGUGUAGCGGUGGAAUGCGCAGAUAUCAGGAGGAACACCAAUGGCGAAGGCAGGUCUCUGGGCCAAUACUGACACUGAGGAGCGAAAGUCUGGGGAGCGAACAGGAUUAGAUACCCUGGUAGUCCAGACCGUAAACGGUGGGCACUAGUUGUGGGAACCUUCCACGGUUUCUGCGACGCAGCUAACGCAUUAAGUGCCCCGCCUGGGGAGUACGAUCGCAAGAUUAAAACUCA